This 465-nucleotide ribosomal RNA is filed under the name Vreelandella stevensii. RNAcentral's name for it is "partial 16S ribosomal RNA". It matches the Rfam family "Bacterial small subunit ribosomal RNA", at positions 338 to 795 of the family's 1533-position model. The record is from RNAcentral. Lineage: Bacteria; Pseudomonadati; Pseudomonadota; Gammaproteobacteria; Oceanospirillales; Halomonadaceae.
CCUACGGGAGGCAGCAGUGGGGAAUAUUGGACAAUGGGGGGAACCCUGAUCCAGCCAUGCCGCGUGUGUGAAGAAGGCCCUCGGGUUGUAAAGCGCUUUCAGUGAGGAAGAACGCCUGGUGGUUAAUACCCAUCAGGAAAGACAUCACUCACAGAAGAAGCACCGGCUAACUCCGUGCCAGCAGCCGCGGUAAUACGGAGGGUGCGAGCGUUAAUCGGAAUUACUGGGCGUAAAGCGCGCGUAGGUGGCUUGAUAAGCCGGUUGUGAAAGCCCCGGGCUCAACCUGGGAACGGCAUCCGGAACUGUCAAGCUAGAGUGCAGGAGAGGAAGGUAGAAUUCCCGGUGUAGCGGUGAAAUGCGUAGAGAUCGGGAGGAAUACCAGUGGCGAAGGCGGCCUUCUGGACUGACACUGACACUGAGGUGCGAAAGCGUGGGUAGCAAACAGGAUUAGAUACCCUUGUAGUC